This 515-nucleotide ribosomal RNA is filed under the name uncultured crenarchaeote. RNAcentral describes it as "bacterial SSU rRNA". It matches the Rfam family "Archaeal small subunit ribosomal RNA", at positions 299 to 819 of the family's 1478-position model. Lineage: Archaea; Thermoproteati; Thermoproteota. The record is from RNAcentral.
CGGGCGGGGGCACGGGGGGCCCUACGGGGUGCAGCAGGCGCGAAACCUCUGCAAUAGGCGAAAGCUUGACAGGGUUACUCUGAGUGAUUUCCGUUAAGGAGAUCUUUUGGCACCUCUAAAAAUGGUGCAGAAUAAGGGGUGGGCAAGUCUGGUGUCAGCCGCCGCGGUAAUACCAGCACCCCGAGUGGUCGGGACGUUUAUUGGGCCUAAAGCAUCCGUAGCCGGUUCUACAAGUCUUCCGUUAAAUCCACCUGCUUAACAGAUGGGCUGCGGAAGAUACUAUAGAGCUAGGAGGCGGGAGAGGCAAGCGGUACUCGAUGGGUAGGGGUAAAAUCCGUUGAUCCAUUGAAGACCACCAGUGGCGAAGGCGGCUUGCCAGAACGCGCUCGACGGUGAGGGAUGAAAGCUGGGGGAGCAAACCGGAUUAGAUACCCGGGUAGUCCCAGCUGUAAACGAUGCAGACUCGGUGAUGAGUUGGCUUAUUGCUAACUCAGUGCCGCAGGGAAGCCGUUAAG